UGGGGAAUUUUGGACAAUGGGCGAAAGCCUGAUCCAGCAAUGCCGCGUGUGUGAAGAAGGCCUUCGGGUUGUAAAGCACUUUUGUCCGGAAAGAAAUCCUUGGCUCUAAUACAGUCGGGGGAUGACGGUACCGGAAGAAUAAGCACCGGCUAACUACGUGCCAGCAGCCGCGGUAAUACGUAGGGUGCAAGCGUUAAUCGGAAUUACUGGGCGUAAAGCGUGCGCAGGCGGUUUGCUAAGACCGAUGUGAAAUCCCCGGGCUCAACCUGGGAACUGCAUUGGUGACUGGCAGGCUAGAGUAUGGCAGAGGGGGGUAGAAUUCCACGUGUAGCAGUGAAAUGCGUAGAGAUGUGGAGGAAUACCGAUGGCGAAGGCAGCCCCCUGGGCCAAUACUGACGCUCAUGCACGAAAGCGUGGGGGAGCAAACAGGAUUAGAUACCCUGGUAGUCCACGCCCUAAACGAUGUCAACUAGUUGUUGGGGAUUCAUUUCCUUAGUAACGUAGCUAACGCGUGAAGUUGACCGCCUGGGGAGUACGGUCGCAAGAUUAAAACUCAAAGGAAUUGACGGGGUCAUA
Molecule: ribosomal RNA, 576 nt
Filed under: uncultured bacterium
Lineage: Bacteria
Description: partial 16S ribosomal RNA
Rfam family: Bacterial small subunit ribosomal RNA
Source: RNAcentral